GAGUCUGAUGGAGCACGCCGCGUGAGUGAAGAAGGGUUUCGGCUCGUAAAACUCUGUUGUUAGAGAAGAACAGCCGUGAGAGCAACUGCUCACGGUAUGACGGUAUCUAACCAGAAAGUCACGGCUAACUACGUGCCAGCAGCCGCGGUAAUACGUAGGUGGCAAACGUUGUCCGGAUUUAUUGGGCGUAAAGGGAGCGCAGGCGGUUUAUUAAGUCUGAUGUGAAAGCCUUCGGCUUAACCGGAGAAGUGCAUCGGAAACUGAUAAACUUGAGUGCAGAAAAGGAUAGUGGAACUUCAUGUGUAGCGGUGAAAUGCGUAGAUAUAUGAAGGAACACCAGUGGCGAAGGCGGCUAUCUGGUCUGUAACUGACGCUGAGGCUCGAAAGCAUGGGUAGCAAACAGGAUUAGAUACCCUGGUAGUCCAUGCCGUAAACGAUGAAUGCUAGGUGUUGGAAGGUUUCCGCCUUUCAGUGCCGCAGCUAACGCAUUAAGCAUUCCGCCUGGGGAGUACGACCGCAAGGUUGAAACUCAAAGGAAUUGACGGGGACCCGCACAAGCGGUGGAGCAUGUGGUUUAAUUCGAUGCUACGCGAAGAACCUUACCAGGACUUGACAUCUUCUGCCAAUCUAAGAGAUUAGACGUUCCCUUCGGGGACAGAAUGACAGGUGGUGCAUGGUUGUCGUCAGCUCGUGUCGUGAGAUGUUGGGUUAAGUCCCGCAACGAGCGCAACCCUUGUCUUUAGUUGCCAGCAUUAAGUUGGGCACUCUAGAGAGACUGCCGGUGAUAAACCGGAGGAAGGUGGGGAUGACGUCAAAUCAUCAUGCCCCUUAUGUCCUGGGCUACACACGUGCUACAAUGGGCGAUACAACGAGUUGCGAAACCGCGAGGUCAAGCUAAUCUCUUAAAGUCGUUCUCAGUUCGGAUUGCAGUCUGCAACUCGACUGCAUGAAGUUGGAAUCGCUAGUAAUCGUGGAU
This 976-nucleotide ribosomal RNA is filed under the name Fructilactobacillus sanfranciscensis. RNAcentral's name for it is "bacterial SSU rRNA". It matches the Rfam family "Bacterial small subunit ribosomal RNA", at positions 379 to 1349 of the family's 1533-position model. The record is from RNAcentral. Lineage: Bacteria; Bacillati; Bacillota; Bacilli; Lactobacillales; Lactobacillaceae.